AUGGAUCUGGAUAAGGCACUAAUGAUGAAGAUUGGGCCGUGGGGAGGGCAUAGCGGUUAUCUUAAGGACAUCAAGGAGGCACCCCUAUGCCUAAACAGUGUCACAAUCCGCAGUGGAAAGGUUGUAUAUUCCCUUGCAUUUUCCUACAGUGAUGGCCAUGGAAAGCAGCACCAUGCAGGCCCAUGGGGAAUAUGCGAAAGCUUUUCUUAUGGGAGGUUUGAUACGAUUCAGCUAAGUUCCUUCGAGUUUUUGGCUGAAAUUUCUGGAACCAUUGGUUUCUCUACCCAAUAUUCUGCCAAUGUGGUAACGUCGAUUAAAUUUAUCACCAAUGUUGGUUCAUAUGGACCUUUUGGAGCUGGAGGAGGAAUUCCUUUCCAUAGUCCACUAUUGGGCAAAGGCAGUAUUGUUGGCUUCUUUGCUCAUGUUGGGAAGGCGCUAGACGCAAUUGGUCUCUAUGUGAAUUCUGAGAGGCAACCAACAAGAGAAGCGGUUUCGAUUAUGAAAGUUGGCCCAUGGGGUGGCAGUUCUGGGUUGUGCAAUGACGUGGCAGUGUUACCCCAGCGUCUUGUAAGUGUGGUGGUUCACAGUGGCGAGGUAGUCAAUUCGCUUUCGUUCACAUAUAGUGAUUGCAAUGGACAAGUGCACAUUGCCGGGCCAUGGGGACGGACGGUUGAGUCUCAUGACGGUAGUUCUCAUCAGAUUCUUCUCGGGGAUUCAGAAUUUCUGAUGGAAAUUUCUGGAACAGUUGGUCCGAGUCCUGACCAUUCAGAUGUUGUAUCGUCACUUUUAUUUGUCACCAAUGCCAGUAGCUAUGGACCAUAUGGACAAGGAGGGGGGACUCGCUUCCAAAGUCCACGUCAGAGAGAUGCUGUCAUCGUUGGCUUCUUUGCCAAUGGUAGAGAAUUUAUUGAAGCAAUUGGUGUCUAUUUUAGCCCACAGGAGGGGACAAACGAAGAAGAGGUACAAAAUUUCUUCCCUUGA
This 981-nucleotide ribosomal RNA is filed under the name Triticum aestivum (bread wheat). RNAcentral describes it as "partial small subunit ribosomal RNA". The record is from RNAcentral. Lineage: Eukaryota; Viridiplantae; Streptophyta; Magnoliopsida; Poales; Poaceae.